CUUGCGGACGGGACGGCCGCGGCAUCACUGCGUGGUGUCGAGGAAAGUCCGGGCUCCACAGGGCAGGUCGGUGGGUAACGCCCACGGGUCGAAAGACCACGGAAAGUGCCACAGAGAACAGACCGCCGAUGGUCGUCUUCGGACGACACAGGCAAGGGUGAAACGGUGGGGUAAGAGCCCACCGCCGUUCCUGGUGACAGGGCGGGCACGGUAAACCCCGACCGGAGAAAGGCCAAAUAGGGGAGGAGAGGCUUCGGCCUCGGGGAGGGGCCCCUUCCCCCUGACUCCCGGGUAGGCCGUUCGAGGCGGCGCGCGAGCGUCGACCCAGAGAAAUGGUCGUCGCCCCCCUCGGGGCACAGAACCCGGCUUACAAGACCGCUGGAGCA
This 386-nucleotide RNase P RNA is filed under the name Planctomycetota bacterium. RNAcentral describes it as "RNase P RNA component class A". It matches the Rfam family "Bacterial RNase P class A". From Rfam's summary of the family: Ribonuclease P (RNase P) is a ubiquitous endoribonuclease, found in archaea, bacteria and eukarya as well as chloroplasts and mitochondria. The record is from RNAcentral. Lineage: Bacteria; Pseudomonadati; Planctomycetota.